AUCAACUAGACGGUGUCGCUGUGAGUUUAACACGGAACCACAAAACGAGUUUCUUUUGGCCAGAAAAUCUCGUGCCACCAGAAACGGACCCAAUAUCGCAAACUCGAAAUGCAUCUGUCCCAAACUUACCGAUACGGUUUUAAAUUGACAUUUUAUCAGACUGGUUCGUCAAUUAUUCGUAAAACUAACGAAGAACGUGGAGUAGCAGCAUGUGCUUUAUUAUUAGCAACAACUGGAUUAUCAUUGAGCAUGUUUUCACUUAAACAAAUGCUAUCAUGCUCCCAGACACGUCGAAGAAGAUUAAUGUAAUAAUUAAUUAAUUGAUCAACGAUCGUAACCAACACACAAAAACGAGAGAAGUGACGAAGAAUAAAAGUAGUAGAAGAAAAUUUAAGUGAGAGCAGUUAUUGGACAUUGAUGAUAGAAACAAAAAGAAAAAAAGAGCAAAUAAUUCGAGUUAUUCGAAUAUGUGUUCGUGUGAAUUCGAUUUAGAAAAUACAAAUAAAUAAUACGAAGUUGCAA
Polistes dominula (European paper wasp) is the source of this 522-nucleotide long non-coding RNA. NCBI's taxonomy places the organism in Eukaryota, Metazoa, Arthropoda, Insecta, Hymenoptera, Vespidae. The record is from RefSeq and is a predicted model, not a curated record.